Molecule: unclassified non-coding RNA, 338 nt
Filed under: soil metagenome
Description: partial contains 5.8S ribosomal RNA, internal transcribed spacer 2, and large subunit ribosomal RNA
Rfam family: 5.8S ribosomal RNA (bases 1-120)
Source: RNAcentral
GAUGAAGAACGUAGCGAAAUGCGAUAAGUAGUGUGAAUUGCAGAAUUCAGUGAAUCAUCGAAUCUUUGAACGCACAUUGCGCCCUUUGGUAUUCCUUAGGGCAUGCCUGUUCGGGCGUCAUCUAAACCUUCAAGCUCAGCUUGGUGAUGGGCGACUGUCCCCCCCCCUCGCGGGGGGGACUCGCCUCAAAAACAUUGGCGGCCGGUACAUUGGCUUCGAGCGCAGCAGAAACGCGGUCUCGAGCCCGGUGGAUCGGCUCCCAUAAGCCUAUUCUUUUAUUUUGACCUCGGAUCAGGUAGGGAUACCCGCUGAACUUAAGCAUAUCAAUAAGCGGAGGA